ACGCACGACACCUACAGGAGGCAGCAGUGGGGAAUAUUGCACAAUGGAGGAAACUCUGAUGCAGCGACGCCGCGUGAGCGAAGAAGUAUUUCGGUAUGUAAAGCUCUAUCAGCAGGGAAGAAAAAGGACGGUACCUGACUAAGAAGCUCCGGCUAAAUACGUGUCAGCAGCCGCGGUAAUCUGAGCGGGCUGGCAAGGC
RNAcentral lists this ribosomal RNA (199 nucleotides) under uncultured bacterium. RNAcentral describes it as "partial 16S ribosomal RNA". It matches the Rfam family "Bacterial small subunit ribosomal RNA", at positions 328 to 539 of the family's 1533-position model. The record is from RNAcentral.